UAUAAGAGGCGAGCAGUGGCGGGGGCCUCACUGUUCACUCCUCUCACCACGAUGGCCAAGCUGUUGCUGCUGCUGCUGGAGCUGUGUCUCAUGUACCACCACACGUGUGGUGAACAGCAACCAGAGGCCAAAAAGAGUGCUUCGCGCCGUUCACCGCUGUCCACCUCCAGUGUGUUCUUGUGUUGCCUGAUGUCUUGGGCUCCUGGUAUGAUAUGAGAAAUUAUUGCCAAGAUCUACGUGGAGAAUUGCUCAAGGUGGACAUCGACAACUUAAUGUAUUACCUUGUCAAAUACAUCUACGAUAAUGGACAGGAGAUUACUGGAUCGGAGGGUCAGACGAAGGGCACGAGGGAGACUUCCUCUGGACCGAUAGUACCAGUGUCAAAAUGGGAACACCACUUUGGGGUGAUGGAGUUCAUGACCAAAUCCAGGACCCGAUGGUGGGAUCGGUCAGAAUUGUAUUUUCAUGGCUCGGGGCGAUCAUUUUUUCUUUUUUGAUAAUGACUGUAAUCUCAAUCAUAAUGUUAUUUGUGAGCAAGCAUAAGUAUAAGUGGAACACAAUAAUUAAUUAUUACUGCAGUACUAUGCUACAUGGACACACAUUAACAAGGUACUAUUCUAAACUCUCUAGAAGUGUUACUCAAGAUUAGGGAUCUACUGGUAUGCUGCCCAAAAUUCUGCUUCUUUGUGAAUUUG
Molecule: non-coding RNA, 695 nt
Organism: Procambarus clarkii (red swamp crayfish)
Lineage: Eukaryota; Metazoa; Arthropoda; Malacostraca; Decapoda; Cambaridae
Source: RefSeq, a predicted model, not a curated record